This 164-nucleotide ribosomal RNA is filed under the name uncultured bacterium. Its description in RNAcentral is "partial 16S ribosomal RNA". It matches the Rfam family "Bacterial small subunit ribosomal RNA", at positions 1338 to 1500 of the family's 1533-position model. The record is from RNAcentral.
GUAAUCGCGGAUCAGCAUGCCGCGGUGAAUACGUUCCCGGGCCUUGUACACACCGCCCGUCACACCAUGGGAGUUUGUAACGCCCAAAGUCGGUGGCCUAACCUUUAUGGAGGGAGCCGCCUAAGGCGGAACAGAUGACUGGGGUGAAGUCGUAACAAGGUACC